This is an RNA transcript of Oncorhynchus keta (chum salmon), 11389 nucleotides long. RefSeq lists it as uncharacterized. The record is from RefSeq and is a predicted model, not a curated record. The transcript has 4 exons. NCBI's taxonomy places the organism in Eukaryota, Metazoa, Chordata, Actinopteri, Salmoniformes, Salmonidae.
AGGUCUAUGUCUACCCAUGGUGCUCAUUUUAGGGUCAGUGUCAGCUGGUGGUGUCAUCCUAGCAGCGAUGCUGGUAGGCUGCUGUAUUGGGAGGAGAAGGAGAAUAUUUAACACCACAGGUGCAGAACUCAAAGGACUUCAGCCUUCAGAAUGAGGAAGGAGGCGAUCAAACCUGUCGAAACCUAUAACGGAGAGGAGAUAGAGGUUGUGGAGGCUGCUGAGGGGAGGACGGCUCAUAGUAAUGGCUGGAAUGGAGUUAAUGGAAUGGUAUCAAAUGUGGUUUCCAUGUGGUUCAUAUCAUUCCAUUGACUCCAUUCCAGCCAUUAAUAUGAGCCGUCCUCCCCUCAGCAGCCUCCACUGUUGUCGAGUCAUUAGUGGACCUAUUGUAGCAGACAGAGGUUAUUGAUAAGAAACUCGAAUGGAAAUAACAUAUUGAUUGAUUUAUUGUGCUCCAACCGGAGACCACAUUACAUACAGGCAGUUAACCCACUGUUCCUAGGCCGUCAUUGAAAAUAAGAAUUAGUUCUUAACAGACUUGCCUAGUUAAAUAAAGGUAAAAUAAAUAAAUAAAAUACAUUAAUACAUUAUCGAGGAUAAAAACACAAAGGCCGGAGUCUUAUUUCCAUUGGGGUCUUCAUUUGGCAGUGAGAUGGCAGACACUUUUCAUGCACUCAAUGCAAUUAAAAUGAAGAACAGUAGCCAUUUACAACCAUUUCCAACGAUAUCCAUUUACAACAUUUGAGAACAAUAUCAACAGCACAGAGGUCCCGUUUGAGUCACCUCGUCAAAGAAUACCCUUAAUCAAAUGGACAUGUUAUUUCUCAGGGAUGUUUUUAGUGACACCUUAAAGCAAUUCUAUGAUGCCAGAGAUUUCAGGUUAGCCUGGUAAAACUGUCCCAUAGAACUGCAGCAGAAUCCAGGAAAUCGUUUUCCACCAUGGAGCUCUUGAAUCUACAGGGAACAAAGUUUCCUCUGGUGGAAUACUGAUUGGUGUCAUUUAUACGGCUAAAAUCAUUUUGUUGUCAAACCCCAAUUUAAACUGGGUGACUUUAGUUUCCACCACGCCGUUUCAGUUGAUCAAAGUGAGAUGGUUCAAGAUAAAUAUUAGGUGGAAGUUUCAGAAUAAUCUUGGCUCUUAUUCUGAGAGGUCAUAGGAUUGUUCUUUAUAUCUUGGGGGGAACCGCUGUACCAAGAGGCACAACCAUAAUCAAAAUGACACUGCAUACCAGUACCUAUUUCCUUUGUUCUUUCAUUGUAUGCAUUCAUUGACUUCUAAUAAGUAUUUCUUAUGGCAUUGGCUUGUUUCUAUCAGUUCGAUCAGUUCUUUUGCCAGCUAUGAAUUGGCAGUGGUGUUAAAUUACAUUAAUUACAUUCCCUCCAUAAAUGGAAACUAAUUGUAUUUUAAUACUUUUUUUCCCCCCAUGAGAAAUAAACAAUGAAUCUCUAUCACUUUUUCAAAUGAAGAAGAUAUUAAACCUCACACUUUUUUGUACGGGUUCCUCUUUUCAGAGAAGAAGUGAUAUUUAAUGUCAAACGUACUGUAUAUUAGUAAUUAUAUUAGUUAAUUUUACUCAAAAAGAAACAACCGGUUCCGUUCAGACAGUUCUCUAAACUACAGACUGGAAUAACUCUUAGAUGCUCAGACUGUACACAGCCAGAUAGAGUGCCUUCGGAAAGUAUUCAGACCACUUGACAUUCUUACGUUACAGCCUCAUUCUAAAAACGUUUUUCCCCUCAUCAAUCUAUACACAAUAUCCCACAAUGACAAAGCAAAAACAGGGUUAGCUAAUUUAUUAGAAAUAAAAAACGGAAAUGUGACUUACAUGCGUUUUCAGACCCUUUUCAAUACUUUGAAGCACCUUUGGCAGUGAAUACAGCAUUGAGUCAUCUUGGGUAUGACGCAACAAUAAACCCUUCCCCACAUCUGUGCUUCGACACAAUCCUGUCUCUGAGCUCUUACGGACAAUUCCUUCGACCUCAUGGCUUGGAUUUUGCUCUGACAUGCACUGUCAACUGUGGGACCUUAUAUAGACAGGUGUGUGCCUUUCCAAAUCAUGUCCAAUCAAUUGAAUUUACCACAGGUAGACUCCAAUCAAGUUUAAACAGUAUAAACAUAUCAAGGAUGAUCGAUGGAAACAGGAUUCACCUGAACUCAAUUUCGAGUCUCAUAGCAAAGGUGCUGAAUACUUAUGUAAAUAUUUGCGUUUUUUCUUUUUUUUUUAACCUGUUUUCGCUUUGUCAUUAUGGGGUAUUGUGUGUAGAUUGCUGAGGAUUAUUAUUAUUUUUAAAUCCAUGUGUGGAACAAUUUGGAAAAUGACAAGGGGUCUGAAUAUUUUCUGAAGGCACUGUAUAGUCAAGCUAUUAUAAAGCUUUUCUCCACUUGUUGGAAAUGCAUUGAGACCAGUUUGCAACCAUAAGAAGAGACAUGGAGGCUGUAUUUGGAUUGUUGGUGAUGUUAGCAGGAGUGUCUCAUGGUACGUUUAUUGUUAGAGUUCUUAUGCAGUUGUCCUGCUAUGAAUUGAUCAUAAGGGAAAAAUAUGUCUAGGCUAAUUCAUGAAGUAUUUCUGACAAUGAUUCCACAUCACAGUAUAAUGUUUCUGGACUUCCUGACAGCAGGAACAACAGUGCAGGUUGAGAGCUUCAAGUUCCUUGGCGUCCAUAUCACCAACAAACUAACAUGGUCCAAGCACACCAAGACAGUUUUGAAGAGGGCACAACAAAACCUAUUCCCCCUCAGGACACUGAAAAGAUUUGGCAUCCUCAAAAGGCUUUACAGAUUUACAGAGCAUCCUGACGGGUUGCAUCACUGCCUGUAUGGCAGCUACUUGUCCUCCGACCUCUAGGCACUACAGAGGGUAGUGCUUACGGGCCGUUACAUCACUGGGCCAAGCUUCCUGCCAUCCAGGACCUCUAUAAUAGGCGGUGUCAGCGGAAGACCCUACAAAUUGUCAAAGACUCCAGCCACCCUAGUCAUAGACUGUUCUCUCUGCUACCGUGUUUUAGGCAACAACAAAAAAAGGGGCGGAUCUACAGGAUCGGUGUCCCCCCCAUGGGACGUUUGAGCUAACGUAGGCUAAUGUGAUUAGCAUAAGGUUGUAAGUAACAAAAACAUUUCCCAGGACAUAGACAUAUCUGAUAUGGGCAGAAAGCUUAACUUCUUGUUAAUCUAACUGCACUGUCCAAUUUACAGUAGCUAUUACAGUAAAAUAAUACCAUUCUAUUGUUUGAGGAGAGUGCACAAUUUUGAACAUGAAAAUGUAUUAACCUUUUCAUGUGAGUUCCAAAUACCUCUAACGGUCGCCCCAGCGAGAGUUGUUUUAUGCACGUGAUGUCAGAAUGCGCUCACUGUUCCAAAAUGUGAUUAUUACGCAACAGGACAGUUUACACGUGCUGCCUGCUAAUUAUCUGUAGGCUAUGUUUCAAUAUGUCAAUUUCAAAUCAUUUUCUAACAAGUUGUAUUUUCUAACAACAGUUUGAAUUGAGGUGUGUUCCGCUUCCUCAUUAAUUCACAUUCAGCGUAGCGGACAAAAACUAUCCUUUUGAUUAGAGCCCCCUGCACUUCACUCAUGAUUGCGCAGAUCAAGUAUGCAUCUAUUUGCGCAGUCUUGCAAGAAUUGGACCAUUUACUUGCUGGCGCUCGCUUUGCCUUCCUUGUUGUUUAUGUUGUUAAUAACUUUGGACAUGUGUGCGUUCCUAUCAAAGUAAGUUCUUUAUUUUCUGUAUAUCGUUUUGUAAUUUCUAAUGUAGGCGCAAAAUGUAUGUAUGUAUGUAUGUAUGUAUGUAUGUAUGUAUGUAUGUAUGUAUGUAUACUUGUGACAAAUAAUGCAUUCCGAUUCUUACAUAUAUUGUAAUGGAGACCUAUGAUGUGUGUAAAAUACUUUUUUGAAGGUUUUAUUUUUUAAACUUUAUUUUACCUUUGUAGGUAGGCAAGUUGAGAACAAGUUCUCAUUUACAACUGUGACCUGGCCAAGAUAUCAAUAAGCAGUUCUACACAUACAACAACACAGAGUUACACAUGGAGUAAAACAAACAUAUAGUCAAUAAUACAGUACAAAAACAAGUCUAUAUACAAUGUGAGCAAAUGAGGCCACUGUGGUGAAGUAAAUACAAUAUAGCAAUUAAAAACACUGGAAUUGUAGAUUUGCAGUAGGUGAAUGAGCAAAGUAGAAAUACUGGGGUGCAAGGGAGCAAAAUAGAUAAAUAUAGUAGAGGAUGAGGUAAUUGUUUGGGCUAUUUAUAGAUGGGCUAUGUACAGGUGCAGUGAUAUGUGAGCUGCUCUGACAGCUGGUGCUUAAAGCUGGUGAGGGAGAUAAGUGUUUCCAGUUUCAGAGAUUUUUGUAGUUUGUUCCAGUCAUUGGCAGCAGAGAGCUGGAAGGAGAGGUGGCCAAAGGAGGAAUUGGGGUGACCAGUGAAAUACACCUGCUGGAGCGCGUGCUACGGGUGGGUGCUUCUAUGGUGACCAGCGAGCUGAAAUAUGGCGGGACUUUACGUAGCAGGGUCUUGUAGAUGACCUGGAAGCAGUGGGUUGGCAACGAGUAUGAAGCGAGGGCCAGCCAACGAGAGUGCACAGGUCGCAGUGGUGGGUAGUUAAUGGGUCUUUGGUGACUAAAUGGAUAGCACUGUGAUAGACUGCAUCCAAUUUGUUGAGUAGGGUGUUGGAGGCUAUUUUGUAAAUGACAUCGCCGAAAAGGAUCGGUAGGAUGGUCAGUUUUACAAGGGUAUGUUUGGCAGCAUGAGUGAAGGAUGCUUUGUUUGCGAAAUAGGAAGCCAUUUCUAGAUUUAACUUUUGAUUGGAGAUGUUUGAUGUGAGUCUGGAAGGAGAGUUUACAGUCUAACCAGACACCUAGGUAUUUGUAGUUGUCCACAUAUUCUAAGUCAGAACCGUCCAGGGUAGUGAUGCUGGGCAGGCGGGCAGGUGUAGGCAGCUAUCGGUUGAAGAGUAUGCAUUUAGUUUUACUUGUAUUUAAGAGCAGUUGGAGGCUACAGAAGGAGAGUUGUUUUGCAUUGAAGCUCGUCUGGAGGGUAGUUAACACAGUGUCCAAAGAAGGGCCAGAAGUAUACAGAAUGGCGUCGUCUGCCUAGAGGCGGAUCAGAGACUCACCUGCCUUCUGAAACAUGUGAACAUUCAUGUGCCUUUAUAACAAACUUGUAUUCCAUCCAUAAAUACGAAUCAAAUGUGAAUUAUGAGACAAGUUGGUUUAGCCACGGAAAAUGGAAGGAACCCUCCCACUAAUUUUGUCAGAAUUAAAGCGUACUGUUAGUUAACUAGCAAAUGUAGCUUGCUGGAUCGCUCACGUUACGUGUAGUAAUAUUAUUCUUAUCAGAAAUCCAUUUGCAUUGCUAGUUAUAGCCUAAUGUUAGCUAGCUAACAUUGAACCUAGUUUUUAUUUUAGCUUUAGCUUCCUGUAGAUCCAUACUAUGUUUGUAUUGGUAGUAGUAUGAGUUGGGAUUAUGCCGGUUCAUUGUUAAACUAGCGAGCUACAGGUUUAAACAAAAGACUUCGUCCAGAUGAUUACAGGACCCAUCAAAGUAGGUGUGUCUGGGGGUGAUUAAGGCCAUCUAUUGUAUUUCAUGAACAUGUGUACACGUGUAGACAAUGGUGACCCAUCCACUUAGCUAGGUUGUGGCUGGGUGGUAAUUAUAGCAUUUCCUUCACAUAACCCAUCAAUUUAGACAAGUGUGUUGGGUAAGCGUCAUCUAAUAAUGAUAAAAUAUUCAUCAAAUGUUUUUAUCUGGACACUUUCUGUUUUUGAUAUGGUUACCAUGCAAGUAACCAUUUCAGUGUGCCGUUUAUAUCUUCUGUAUCCUGUGCAUGUGACAAAUACACUUAGAUUUGAUUUGACAUAGUGUUUGUUUACCACAUGGCUUCACAUGUGAUUCCUUAAAGAGAUGGGUGGGGCUAAGGCUGAAGAGGGUGUUAACGAUGCUGAAUGGGUGUAGACAAAGAAGAGCUCUUUAGUAGGUGUACCAAAACACUUGAGGGCCAUUUUCUCAAAAGUGGGGUUACAAAUUGAUCAACUUUCAAGGCAGAAUACAUAAUACCGAAUCGAAGUGGUCGGUAACAAAUGUGUUUUUUUUCAAUACACUAUAUAUUCUGUAUCAAUUGUUUAGCUGGAAUUGAAUAUUCCUAUCAUGUAUAAUGUAUUUGACUGUGUUAUGUGGUUGUCUCACCUAGCUAUCUUAAAAUGAGUGCACUCACUCUAAAUUGCUCUAGAUUACUGUAUGUCGCUCUGGAUAACAGCAUCUGCUAAAUGGAAGAAAAAAAACGUCAAAUGUAAAUGUUUUACAUAAAAAUCUCAUAUUACUGUAUUGAAUAUCUUCUAUAUGUUUUAUUUAUUUAUUGAAAAUGUAGUUAUUUGUUGCAUUUGACUGUGUAAAACACAGCAGUACUACCUAUUUCUCUGAGUGUGAGGUGGAUAUAUAAGGCAUUUUUCACAAAAACAUGAUUAUUUGACUUUCUGAAAUAAAACCAUAAAGUGAAAGAUUUGAAACAAAUACAUUUCUAUCAUUGAAAAAACUCAUCCUGCCAUGAUUAGAUAGUGAAAAAACACACCAAUCUCUUUCAUAAGUUUACAUUUACCAACAUUUCUGAAAAUGGAUAUACAGUGGGGAGAAUAAGUAUUUGAUACCUGCCGAUUUUGCAGGUUUUCCUAGAGGUCUGUAAUGUUUUUAAAUCAUAGGUGCAAUUCAAUUGUGAGAGACGGAAUCUAAAACAAAAAUCCAGAAAAUCCCAUUGUAUGAUUUUUAAGUAAUUAUUUUGCAUUUUAUUGCAUGACAUAAGUAUUUGAUCACCUACCAACCAGUAAGAAUUCUGGCUCUCACAGACCUGUUGUCACGACUUCUGCCGAAGUCGUUGCCUCUCCUUGUUCGGGAGGUGCUCGGCGUUCGACGUCACCGGUCUUCUAGCCAUCAUUGAUCCAUUUUUCAUUUUCCAUUGGUUUUGUCUUGUCUUCCCACACACCUGUUUUCAAUCCCAUUCAUUACCUGUUGUGUAUUUAACCCUCUGAUUCCCGUCAUGUCUUUGUCAGAGAUUGUUUAUUGUCAGUGUAGUGUUGUUUGUUGUAUAGGUGCGCGUCGGGUCUUCGUACCCAUAUUUUGUUUAUGUUCUUUUCCUGUUUAGUGUUAUGGAGCAUGUUACUAGGACAUUAUUAAAAUACUCCAUUUUACACUCCAUUUGACUCUCCUGCGCCUGACUUCCCUGCCACCUAUACACAUAUGCCUGACAGAAUCUCUGACCAUACAAUAUGAAGUCAGCAGGAGAGGACACUAUGCUCAUGGAGCUGGAGGAACGCGUUCAGGAACAAGCGAGGGAGCUUGACUGUAUAAGCUCCGUCAUGAAUCGCAUUGUCCAGAAUAUGGAUCGCUGGGAGAGACAGGGAGUUUCUCCAGCGCCACCACCACCACAACCGGAAUCUCCCUUGAACGUUUUGUCCUCUUCGGAAUCGAAGAUCCAUUUAUCCCUACCCACGGGAUACAACGGAGAUACUGCCGGCUGCCAGGGUUUCCUCCUUAAGCUGAACUUAUAUCUAGCCACGGCCUCCCCAGUACCAUCUGACCGUGAGAAGAGUUACGCCCUCGUCUCAUGCCCCACCGGGAAAGCCCUGGAAUGGGCCAGCGCUGUUGUGUAGAAGGGAGGAUGCGGCGUUGGACCAUUUUGAGGAGUUCACCCGCCAAUUCCGGAUAGUAUUCGAUCAUCCACCUGAAGGCAAAGCAGUGGGGGAGCUCCUCUAUUAUCUGAGGCAGGAGACGAGGAGUGCACAGGAGUUUGCUUUGGAGUUUAGGACCUUGGCUGCCGGCGCUGGAUGGAGUGAUAGGGUCCUGAUCGACCAUUACCGUUGUAGUCUACGCGAGGACGUCCGUCGGGAGCUGGCCUGUAGAGACACCACCCUCACCUUCGACCAGCUGGUGGACAUGUCCAUCAAGCUGGACAACAUGCUGGCUACUCGUGGACGUCUAGAUCGGGGUCUGGUUGUUCCAUCCUCCCGCACCCUCUCUCCCGAACCAAUGGAAUUGGGAGGGAUGGUGCGCAGGCAGACCGGAGGGGGUUCUCGCUAGAGCACCAUUCAUGGUCGCAGAGGGCACACUGCUGGUCGGUGCCGGGUUGGUUCCUCUGGGAAUAGAGAAGGCAGGCAGGGCAUUCUGGCAUCACCCCAGGUGAGUAGGCACCAUUUUCAUCCUGAGCCCUCUGCUGCACUAAUGUUUGUCUCGGUCUCUUUUCCUGAUUUUUCUAUGCAUUCCCAGUAUAAGGCGCUAGAAGAUUCAGGUGCGGCUGGGAAUUUCAUUAAUAAAAGUCUAGCUCAUAGUUUAGGGAUCCCUAUUGUUCCUGUGGAUAUGCCUUUCCCUAUUCAUGCCUUAGAUAGUCGACCAUUAGGGUCAGGGUUUAUCAGGGAGGUAACCGCACCUUUGUGUAUGAUAACGCAGGAGGGUCACAAGGAGAAGAUGAGUCUUUUCCUUAUUGAUUCUCCUGCGUAUUCUGUGGUGCUAGGCCUACCCUGGUUAUCUUGCCAUAACCCCACUGUUUCUUGGCCACAGAGGGCUCUCACAGGGUGGUCGCAAGAAUGCUCAGGUAGGUGUUUAGGGGUUUCCGUUGGUGCUACUACGGUGGAAAGUCCAGACCAGGUCUCCACCGUGCGCAUUCCCCCCGAAUAUGCCGAUUUGGCUCUCGCCUUCUGUAAGCGCAUGUCCAGGCCCGUCUGAAGUUUGCCAAUGACCAUCUGGAUGAUCCAGAGGAGGAAUGGGAGAAGGUCAUGUGGUCUGAUGAGACAAAAAUAUGUAUUUUUGGUCUAAAUUCCACUCGCCGUGUUAGGAGGAAGAAGAAGGAUGAGUACGACCCCAAGAACACCAUCCCAACCGUAAAGCUUGGAGGUGGAAACAUCAUUCUUUGGUGAUGCUUUUCUGCAAAGGGGACAGGACGACUGCACCGUAUUGAGAGGAGGAUGGAUGGGGCCAUGUAUCGCGAGAUCUUGGCCAACAACCUCCUUCCCUCAGUAAGAGCAUUAAAGAUGGGUCGUGGCUGGGUCUUCCAGCAUGACAACGACCCGAAACACACAACCAGGGCAUCUAAGGAGUGGCUCCGUAAGAAGCAUCUCAAGGUCCUGGAGUGGCCUAGCCAGUCUCCAGACCUGAACCCAAUAGAACAUCUUUGGAGGGAGCUGAAAGUCCAUAUUGCCCAGCGACAGCCCCGAAACCUGAAGGAUCUGGAGAAGGUCUGUAUGGAGGAGUGGGCCAAAAUCCCUGCUGCUGUGUGUGCAAACCUGGUCAAGAACUACAGGAGACGUAUGAUCUCUGUAAUUGCAAACAAAGGUUUCUGUACCAAAUAUUAAGUUCUGCUUUUCUGAUGUAUCAAAUACUUAUGUCAUGCAAUAAAAUGCAAAUUAAUUGCUUAAAAAUCAUACAAUGUGAUUUUCUGUAUUUUCUUUUUAGAUUCCGUCUCUCACAGUUGAAGUGUACCUAUGAUAAAAAUUACAGACCUCUACAUGCUUUGUAAGUAGGAAAACCUGCAAAAUUGGCGGUGUAUCAAAUACUUGUUCUCCCCACUGUAUAGCGUUUUUGAAUGAAACUCUUCAUAACAUUUCACAAACAAAAAGUUUAUUUUAAUACACUCUCACUUUGAUUUUCUAUGGAAAACCUUCACUCCCUACAUGCGGGAACCAUGAGAGGGCUCACAGUGAACACAUGACCUGUGUGGUGUAACAGUGUUUCUCAACCAUUAUUUCAACUUGCACUUGACAACUGACUUGAGUUUGUGUCAGAGAAACACCGUAACAGACACAGCUAAUAAAAGGGCAUAGUGUUUCUCUAAAUAACUUACAGUAUAAGACUGAAACAAAGUUCUCACAGUGUAAAUCUGGUGUGAUCAUUUAUUUUGGAUCACAUUAAAUCUUAUCUCUUGAGAGAUCUCUUGUUCGCUUAAGUAUAUACGGGGUGGCAGGUAGCCUAGUGGUUAGAGCGUUGUAAUAGUAACUGAAAGGUUACAACAUCGAAUCCCCGAAGCUGACAAGGUAAAAAGCUGUUGUUCUGCCACUGAACAAGGCAGUUAACGCACUGUUCCUAGCCCAUCAUUGAAAAUAAGAAUUUGUUCUGAACUGGCUUGCCUAGUUAAAUAAAGGUAGAAAUAAAUGUAUCUUAUCCUAUAUACUGAAAUGUUUAUGCAUCGGUGAAAUGAAGAAGUGAGAUUAUGGUUGUGUUCAAACAUUUCCUUCCCCAUCCCUGAAAUGACACAAUCAUUUACAUGUUUUAUUCAAAUAGCCUAGUGACAUUCUGAUUUAUAACGUGGACGGUAGUUUGUUGUUUGUAAUCCAAGUUUGGGACUUCAAUAAGGGAACCUAUAGUUGCCACAUCAGUAGAUGCCUAUUAUAAAGGAACAUGUUUAUGAUGUUUGGACUUCUGAUUAUGUCAGCAGAAUCCUCUUAUGGCAUGGUGACCUCCUGUAAUGCUACACAGAACAUGUCGUGUUACGGAGCUCUGGGAGGAACUGUUUAUCUCCAGCUGAUGAAUGAUGCCACAGGAUCCGAACUCACAUUCAAAAAAGACCCCACUGGUGCACAAACAGUGAUAUUCAAAAUAAAACAAAACAAAAUUGUCCAUGAAUUCAUUAAAGCCAGAUCAGAGUUCUUUAUCAAUAAUGGAACAUUAAAAAUAAAUAGCACAGAGAGGAGUGAUUCUGCUGAAUAUUCUUUAGAAAUCUUCAAGUCAGAUGGACUUUACUUGGACACGAGAGUAGUACAACUGAUAAUUGGAGGUGAGGAGCUAAAAAACACAUCUAUUUGCCAAAUAAGAAUAUUCCAUAGAAGCCAAAGGCAAUUUAUCUUGAACGCUUGAACGUUGUCAUGCAUGAUUUGUGUUGGACUGUGUCAAACCCCCCACCCACCACCCACCACCACUAUUUCCCCUCACCAUAUCAUGCAGGAGGAUCUUAUGGCACUGCCAUAGGAUCACUAGUAGCUGUGGUCCUGGUCCUUGCAGUGGUGGUGGGAGCUUACUGUAUUCGCAAGAGGAGGACCCCUCCACAGGCAUCAGAUGCUGUUGAGAGUCCAGAACUGGAAUGUGAUGACAUCACGAUUCUAAAGAAGAGGGAGAAACAGAGAGAGGUUCCAGAGGAGGUGGUGUAUGGACAGAUUGUAGUGCUGGAGGGUGCCAGACCAAACACGGAGAGAGACAGACCUGAGGGGCAGGAGGAGACUUUGUAUGCUGGAAUACAGCUUGGCCAAUGAGAGCUGCAUGUUUGAAGGGUUGGUCUUUAGAAGUGGUACUGAAGCCUUGCUUCUCCAUUUGUUACUGUAACGAAUUGGAUUAACUUUCCCAUAUUACUGUUUAUAUUUCAUGCCAUUCAAUGCUGAGGGUUUUGUACAUUAUUUACCUAAAUAAAUAUCCCAACAAAUGGACUGUC